GAUUGAAUGGUCCGGUGAAGUGUUCGGAUCGCGGCGACGUGGGCGGUCCUGCUGCCGGCGACGUCGCGAGAAGUCCACUGAACCUUAUCAUUUAGAGGAAGGAGAAGUCGUAACAAGGUUUCCGUAGGUGAACCUGCGGAAGGAUCAUUGUCGAAACCUGCAAGGCAGAACGACCCGUGGACAGUUUGUGGCUCCUCAUUCUCGAGCGGCGGGGCCUUCGUGCCCAUCCGCUCGUCGCCCCAGGGCUAGGGACGUGGGCUCGGCCCACGCUCGCUAUCCUUGGGUGCAUACAACAAACCCCGGCGCAGAUCGCGCCAAGGAACAAGAAAGAAAGAGAGACGCGCUCCCAUGGUCCCGGAUACGGUGCGCCACGGGCAGCGUCGUCGAUGUGAGUAUUCGAAACGACUCUCGGCAACGGAUAUCUCGGCUCUCGCAUCGAUGAAGAACGUAGCGAAAUGCGAUACUUGGUGUGAAUUGCAGAAUCCCGUGAACCAUCGAGUUUUUGAACGCAAGUUGCGCCCGAAGCCGUCUGGCCGAGGGCACGUCUGCCUGGGUGUCAAGAAACGUCGCCAAACGUCCCUCUCCGCACCCUCCCCACCCGAGGGGGGUGAGCAUCGAGGGCGGGCGGAUAUUGGCCUCCCGUGCGCGAUUGCUCGCGGUUGGCCCAAAAGAGAGUACCCCGGCGAGGCAGCCACGGCGUGCGGUGGUAGAAAGCGUAUGCUCUCCUCGGACACCGUCGUGGGCCGACCUCGUGGGGGCAGGAAAGACUAACUAAGGCCCCGAUGCGAAGUCGUGUUUCGCGAAGCGACCCCAGGUCAGGCGGGAGCACCCGCUGAGUUUAAGCAUAUCAAUAAGCGGAGGAAAAGAAACUUACGAGGAUUCCCCUAGUAACGGCGAGCGAACCGGGAACAGCCCAGCUUGAGAAUCGGAUGCCCUCGGCGUUCGAAUUGUAGUCUGGAGAAGCG
RNAcentral lists this unclassified non-coding RNA (965 nucleotides) under Salacia reticulata. Its description in RNAcentral is "partial contains 18S rRNA, ITS1, 5.8S rRNA, ITS2 and 28S RNA". The stretch from base 404 to 559 matches the Rfam family "5.8S ribosomal RNA". The record is from RNAcentral. Lineage: Eukaryota; Viridiplantae; Streptophyta; Magnoliopsida; Celastrales; Celastraceae.